RNAcentral lists this ribosomal RNA (242 nucleotides) under uncultured bacterium. RNAcentral describes it as "partial 16S ribosomal RNA". It matches the Rfam family "Bacterial small subunit ribosomal RNA", at positions 104 to 334 of the family's 1533-position model. The record is from RNAcentral.
UGGCGGGACGGGGUGGAGUAACGCGUGGGUAACCUGCCUCAUACAGGGGGAUAACAGUUAGAAAAUGACUGCUAAUACCGCAUAAGACCACAGCACCGCAUGGUGCAGGGGUAAAAACUCCGGUGGUAUGAGAUGGACCCGCGUCUGAUUAGGUAGUUGGUGGGGUAACGGCCUACCAAGCCGACGAUCAGUAGCCGACCUGAGAGGGUGACCGGCCACAUUGGGACUGAGACACGGCCCAA